AUUGAACGCUGGCGGCAGGCCUAACACAUGCAAGUCGAGCGGGCGGCGUACGGGUUAGUAAGGUACGGGGACCUGCGCGAUGGAGGGGGACAACUACUGGAAACGGUGGCUAAUACCGCAUAGUAUCGGCUAUAACCAUAUGGGAUUGGGUAGUAGGUGGGGUAAAGGCACGCCUAGGCGACGAUCUCUAGCUGGUCUGAGAGGAGGACCAGCCACACUGGGACUGAGACACGGCCCAGACUCCUACGGGAGGCAGCAGUGGGGAAUAUUGCACAAGGGGCGAAAGCCUGAUGCAGCCAUGCCGCGUGUAGGAAGAAGGCCUUAGGGUUGUAAAGUACUUUCAGCGGGAAGGCGUUACCCGCAGAAGAAGCACCGGCUAACUCCGUGCCAGCAGCCGCGGUAAUUC
This 406-nucleotide ribosomal RNA is filed under the name uncultured bacterium. Its description in RNAcentral is "partial 16S ribosomal RNA". It matches the Rfam family "Bacterial small subunit ribosomal RNA", at positions 29 to 526 of the family's 1533-position model. The record is from RNAcentral.